Molecule: long non-coding RNA, 438 nt
Filed under: Rattus norvegicus (Norway rat)
Lineage: Eukaryota; Metazoa; Chordata; Mammalia; Rodentia; Muridae
Description: long non-coding RNA NONRATT011722
Source: RNAcentral
GGUCCCCUUCUUCCUUUCUUUCUUUCUUCCUUCGGGUUAACCUUCUUCUUUCCACCCCCUGCCUUUCCAGGGCGAACAGAGGGAGAAGACGGAGGGCGCGGAGCUCCGCGGUGGCGACUCAACUCCAGAGUUCCAUGGCGGCCGAGGCUGCCCACCUCCUCGGUCGCGGCCGGGGUCCGAGGGGCGGUCGUGGGGCCCAGAGGAGGCCGCGGAAGGAGCUAGCGAAGCAACAGCCGCACAAUCCGGACUCCGGACGGCGGAGGCGUUCCUCGGAGCCUGCAGCAACUUUCCACGCGCUGCGGUGCCCCACAGACUAACUGCCCCAGCGUGGGGACCGCGUGCCCCCCCCACCCCCCGGUCCUUCUGACCAGCUCCCUCACUUUCGCCCUCCCUCUCUCCAGACUCCUCUUUCCCUUGGUGUUCUCAGCGAAAAAAAAA